GGGGAAGUGCCUCGGCCUUAGGGAACAGGCUCCAGGGCCGGCUCCGGCAAAUGGCAAAUGAAAUGGGGGAGGGGAGAGGAGCCUUUUUCUCCUCAGCUCCCCCUACCCCAGCAACUUGCGUGAGGGCAAGGGCGGCUUGCUUACUCUUUGUUUGCCUUAUUCCCAAGUCGGCAACCCCUAACCUUGGUUUGGAAGUUUGGAAGUGGGGCACUCAUUGGCCUUCAUCUCUUGGAAGAAACUUAGGGCCGUUGGGGAGGCGGAAGCGGAUGAGGAGUCUCUGUGCUUGCUCACCCCGGGCCAGAUCUCAGUGAUCCAGAGCGAGGAGAGGGUCUUCAGCUCGGAAGGCUGUGCCUAUCUCUGACUUCUGAAUGUCCGGCUUCCGCCUCCCAUCUAACUGGAUGCCAGCGUCCAGCCAUCCUGCUGGACGCGGGGGGAGAAGCCCCAUUUUACCGCUCGACGAGAGGACAGAGCCUGGCAGCCCCUGAGAUAAGUGUGGCUGUUGGGUAAGGAGCCCAAACCACCUGAAGGCCCGCGCUAGCACAAGGAGUGGCCGGGGGCCCCCGCGGAGGGAGCCAGCGGGGCGGGGCGGGGCCGCGCCAACGGG
Molecule: long non-coding RNA, 604 nt
Filed under: Heterocephalus glaber (naked mole-rat)
Lineage: Eukaryota; Metazoa; Chordata; Mammalia; Rodentia; Bathyergidae
Description: lncRNA (ENSHGLG00100033913.1)
Source: RNAcentral